This 253-nucleotide ribosomal RNA is filed under the name uncultured bacterium. RNAcentral describes it as "partial 16S ribosomal RNA". It matches the Rfam family "Bacterial small subunit ribosomal RNA", at positions 524 to 776 of the family's 1533-position model. The record is from RNAcentral.
UACGUAGGGGGCAAGCGUUGUCCGGAAUUAUUGGGCGUAAAGAGCGUGUAGGCGGCCAGGUAGGUCAGCUGUGAAAACUCGAGGCUUAACCUCGAGACGCCGGCUGAAACCCUCUGGCUAGAGUCCGGAAGAGGAGAGCGGAAUUCCUGGUGUAGCGGUGAAAUGCGCAGAUAUCAGGAAGAACACCCGUGGCGAAGGCGGCUCUCUGGGACGGUACUGACGCUGAGACGCGAAAGCGUGGGGAGCGAACAGG